GAGCACGUAGGUGGGUUUGUAAGUCAGAUGUGAAAGCCUUCUGUUCAACGGAAGAAUUGCAUCUGAAACUGCGAGUCUUGAGUGUAGGAGGGGAGAAUGGAACUUCUGGUGGAGCGGUGAAAUGCGUAGAUAUCAGAAGGAACUCCGGCGGCGAAAGCGAUUCUCUGGCCUAUUACUGACACUCAGUGUGCGAAAGCUAGGGGAGCAAACGGGAUUAGAUACCCCGGUAGUCCUAGCCGCAAACGAUGGGCACUAAGUAGAGGGGUUUU
This 269-nucleotide ribosomal RNA is filed under the name uncultured Planctomycetales bacterium. RNAcentral describes it as "partial 16S ribosomal RNA". It matches the Rfam family "Bacterial small subunit ribosomal RNA", at positions 565 to 832 of the family's 1533-position model. Lineage: Bacteria; Pseudomonadati; Planctomycetota; Planctomycetia; Planctomycetales. The record is from RNAcentral.